RNAcentral lists this small RNA (93 nucleotides) under Sinorhizobium meliloti 2011. RNAcentral's name for it is "putative ncRNA". Lineage: Bacteria; Pseudomonadati; Pseudomonadota; Alphaproteobacteria; Hyphomicrobiales; Rhizobiaceae. The record is from RNAcentral.
AAGCGCCGCAACAGCCGGGCGAAGGUUUCCGGAGCAUCGUCGCGAUUGGUGAUGAUGCUCGACUGCGGAUCGUAGAAGACGACAAGAUCGAUA